CGCCUCCCCCCGGCGCGCGGGGCGGGGCGGCCUUGGUGCUCGCGCGGCCGAUGCACGUACAAUUCAGGGGCAGGCUGUGUGCGGCCUGUUUGACUCUGGGGCAGACGCACUCAGCAGCACUUCUCUCCACCUGCCACAGACAACGCUGUGGCUGCCUACAGGAGCUCCCUGCUCACCGCCGCCAGGCCCCUGCUGCUGACACCUGCGGGAGCUUGCCAUGCGCCCCCCCGCCUCAGGUGGCUAGAGGGGGCACUGUCCUAUAUUCAGGGGCAAUGUGUAGAGAGUACACGUGCAACCCCUGAGAGUGCUGGUGCACCCCCUGUCAGGCCACACUCCCUGUUUAGCCAGCAGGCAGGCAGGAGCACCAGUGCCCUCCCUGUGAGUGCCGGCCAGGGAGUGGGACCACCAGCAAAACCGGAAGUGACCGCAAGAAUUCUGUGAGUUUUACGAAGGAAGUCUUUUAUCCUGGAAUCACACAGACCUACAAACCCGCUCUAAGUAGCUGUGAAGUACGCAAAAUAAAAUAUGCUAACACUUUUUCCAGGACAAAGCUGUGUAGUCCUGGUUCAUUCGAGUUAAUUACCAGAGGAGCUAUUAACAACUCUGUGUAAAGGGCUGUGCUGCUACUCUUUUGUUCCUGGUUUUGAGUCUGAUCAAUCAGAACAGCCUCAAAUGAGAUGUCUGUUUUAUACCCUAUUGUCCCCAAACCCUAUAUCCCCCUCCCCUGCUCUCUCUUCUAUCUGCUGACUAAGGUGUAUACCUGGAAAUGGGUUGUAGCCUCUAAUAUCCAUAUCAGUUCUCAGAGGAGCUAGUCAACCGACAUUACUCAGGGAAUCCCCCAAAUUGGAUUUAAAAUAUUUGUUAUGGGAGCAUUACAUGGCAUCCAGUUACAUAACCAGAGUGGAGAUGAGAGAGGAAGCACUGCAAUGAGAAGAAGCAGAUAAAAUUAAACUUUGAAUAUGAAGUAAAAUUUCAUGCAUUGCAGGCCAACUUGUUCGGCAGGCUUGCCACAAAUUAGCUCUGUAGCCUCCUCAAGUGACCAUGUAUUCCCCUUCCCCUGCCUGAUCUGCUGCUCUGCUUUCUCCUUCCUACCUUGUCUGCUGCCCUUCCUGUCCCCUCUCAGAUCUAUCCCAUGCCACACACAGAGGUUGCCCAUGCCACUUGUGACACAUGUGCUGUAGGUUGGCCACCCCGAUUUAGUUAAUCCAGUUUUCUAUCGGCAGAUACGAUGGAGCUCUUUUGUUUAAGCAUCCAUGUAUCAUGACCAGAUAGUUGUCAAUACAAAUCCUCCUCUGGACAAAUAUUAAAUGGGUCUUUGUAUUUGACCUAAGGCUAAAAGGAAACUGAUAAUCUAGAUACAAUUUAGCACUUAAUUUCUGCAGGAUUGUGUCUGUGGACCUGUUCAGCUUUAAACACUUAAGCAGAUGAUCUGUAGGGGUGUGCAAAGCGGGCACUAUUAGAUUUGGAUUUGGGCCAAAUCCAGGACAGUGAUUC
Long non-coding RNA from Alligator sinensis (Chinese alligator), 1494 nucleotides. RefSeq lists it as uncharacterized. NCBI's taxonomy places the organism in Eukaryota, Metazoa, Chordata, Crocodylia, Alligatoridae. The transcript has 3 exons. The record is from RefSeq and is a predicted model, not a curated record.